UGGGGAAUAUUGGACAAUGGGCGAAAGCCUGAUCCAGCCAUGCCGCGUGUGUGAAGAAGGUCUUCGGAUUGUAAAGCACUUUAAGUUGGGAGGAAGGGCAUUAACCUAAUACGUUAGUGUUUUGACGUUACCGACAGAAUAAGCACCGGCUAACUCUGUGCCAGCAGCCGCGGUAAUACAGAGGGUGCAAGCGUUAAUCGGAAUUACUGGGCGUAAAGCGCGCGUAGGUGGUUUGUUAAGUUGGAUGUGAAAUCCCCGGGCUCAACCUGGGAACUGCAUUCAAAACUGACUGACUAGAGUAUGGUAGAGGGUGGUGGAAUUUCCUGUGUAGCGGUGAAAUGCGUAGAUAGAGGAAGGAACACCAGUGGCGAAGGCGACCACCUGGACUAAUACUGACACUGAGGUGCGAAAGCGUGGGGAGCGAACA
Molecule: ribosomal RNA, 427 nt
Filed under: uncultured bacterium
Lineage: Bacteria
Description: partial 16S ribosomal RNA
Rfam family: Bacterial small subunit ribosomal RNA
Source: RNAcentral